RNAcentral lists this ribosomal RNA (3433 nucleotides) under Carteria oliveri. RNAcentral's name for it is "LSU rRNA". It matches the Rfam family "Bacterial large subunit ribosomal RNA", at positions 21 to 2644 of the family's 2925-position model. The record is from RNAcentral. Lineage: Eukaryota; Viridiplantae; Chlorophyta; Chlorophyceae; Chlamydomonadales; Chlamydomonadaceae.
AYGGYGGAGACCUAGGCACCCAGAGACGAAGAAGGGCGCAAAUACCGGCGAAACGCUUCGGGGAGCUGGCAAUGAGCUUUGAUCCGAAGAUCCCCGAAUAGGGCAACCUCUAGCACUACCUCCAUAAUUCAUAGGGAGGCAAGAGAGAACCCGGUGAACUGAAACAUCUAAGUAGCCGGAGGAAAAGAAAGCAAAAGCGAUUCCCUUAGUAGCGGCGAGCGAAAAGGGAACAGCCUAAACCUGAACCUAGUUCAGGGGUCGUGGGAAGACUAAUAUUGUAGUAAUGCAGCCCUGCUAACCUUAAUGAUAAGGCGUGUGCUAUGUCCUUUUUAUACCUUUUACGUUCUUCCUUUGGGCAGGGUGAGGCUGGGCUUCGCGGGCACCAAAGGGAUGGCGCGAUUCUCCGUUGUGCAUGUGUAGGGCGUAGCCUCCUUUGGCUGGNNNNNNNNCCAGUGUUGGUAGCUGGCUUUUAAAAGCCCUGNNUUCGCGCUUCCAACCCUGACAUUAGCACAGGGCUAAAAAAGGACACACCAGCCUUAUCCUUAUAAUACCCCCUUUUUAUAAAGGGCACAGAAGCAGCCCUAUAUAUGAUUAAAAUUCAAAGUUUAAUACGAAGCAGCUGAAACCUGUUACCAUAGAAGGUGAAAGUCCUGUAGUAAAAAAUUCUUUGACUUUAUUUUAUAGUCUAAUCCCGAGUAGCAUGGGGCACGUGAAAUCCCGUGUGAAUCAGCGAGGACCACCUCGUAAGGCUAAAUACUCCUGGGUGACCGAUAGCGAAAUAGUACCGCGAGGGAAGGGUAAAAAGAACCCCCGUUGGGGAGUGAAAUAGAACAUGAAACCGUACGCUGACAAGCAGUGGGAGGGACUGGGUUUUUUAAAACAGCCCUGCUAGUCCUGACCGCGUGCCUGUUGAAGAAUGAGCCGGCGACUUGUAGGAAUUGGCGAGGUUAAGAAUUUCAAUUCGAAGCCGCAGCGAAAGCAAGUAUGAAUAGUGCUAAGUAACUACUCAGUGGUUAACAAAAGUCAUUUCUUACGGACCCGAACCCGGUCGAUCUAACCAUGUCCAGGAUGAAGCUUGGGUAACACUAAGUAGAGGUCCCGACCGACCGAUGUUGAAAAAUCGGCGGAUGAGGUGUGGUUAGGGGUGAAAUACCAAUCGAGAUCGGAGCUAGCUGGAUCUCCCCGAAAUGCGUUGAGGCGCAGCGGUGACGAAGAGCUACGUUGUGGUAAAGCACUGUUUCGAUACGGGCUGCGAAAGUGGUACCAAGUCGUAGCAAACUCUGAAUACAAUGUAUUGACUUUCCGUGAACCAGUGAGUCUAGGGGGGCUAAGCUUCUAAGACAAAAGGGAAACAGCCCAGAUCACCAGCUAAGGCCCCUAAAUGGCCACUAAGUGGAAAAGGAUGUGAGAAUGCAUAAACAACCAGGAGGUUUGCUUAGAAGCAGCAAUCCUUUAAAGAGUUCGUAACAGAACACUGGUAAAGCGUUCUUGCGCCGAAAAUAACCGGGACUAAGUGGCCUGCCGAAGCUGUGAGUUACUGCUAUUUUUUUUUUGGCUGGUUGUGUUUGGCUGGUUAAGGGCUUUUUUCAGCGAAGAGCCGUCCCGUAGGAGACACAUGCCAUGCGUUGUGCCUAGUCUGCGCAGGACCAAAAAAGGGUGUUGUGGCCUUUCUGGGCAUGUGCAGGUGUUGGGCAUGUAUUGCCUACGGACAGAAGCACCAGCCCUACAACACGCACCAGCCCUGGAAAAAAGGACAUAAAACUCGACUUGGCUACGCCCUCACAAGAGCAAAGUGGCACAAAAAUAGCGGUUGCGGUAGGGGAGCGUUCCGUUUUCGGGUGAAGUUUUGCCGAUAGGCAAGGUGGACGACACGGAAGUGAGAAUGUUGGCUUGAGUAACGAAAACAUUGGUGAGAAUCCAAUGCCCCGAAAACCUAAGGGUUCCUCUACAAGGUUCGUCCAUGGGGGGUUAGUCAGGGCCUAAGGCGAGGCCGAAUGGCGUAGUCGAUGGAAAACAGGUUAAUAUUCCUGUACUUAUUUUUGUGGAAACGAGGGACGGAGGAGGCUAAGCUGGAGCUGUUUUUUGGAUUGCAGCGGAAGCGUUCAAGGUGUAGAAAAUUCGAAAAAAAACGAAUAGGUUACGCUAAUGAAAUUUAUGUCGUCCUGAGCGCUCUUGUGCCUUUUGUAAAAAGGGCUAUAAAGCCAAGGGAAGGACAUAGUAAGAUGUGCGCGUCCCUCCGGGAGGCGCAGGUUUUACAAGAAUUUCAAGAGAUAACCAACCCUUAUAGGGCAACCAAGGCGUGAUCCUUUGGUUCGAUUUAGGCGUGAGCCGGAUUUAAUCAAACUAGUUACGUCAAACUUCCAAGAAAAGCUCGGAUUUUGGCUAAGUGUAACAACAAAGCACAACACAAAAAUAACCUGUACCUGAAACCGACACAGGUAGGUUGGUAGAGUAUACCAAGGGGCGCGAGAGAACUCUCUCUAAGGAACUCGGCAAACUGGCCCCGUAACUUCGGAAGAAGGGGCGCUCGUUUAGUUUAUAGUUUAACUAGACUAGACUGAGCCGCAGUGACCAGGCCCAGGCGGCUGUUUAACAAAAACACAGGUCUCCGCAAAGUCGUAAGACAACGUAUGGGGGCUGACGCCUGCCCAGUGCCGGAAGGUUAAGGAAGUUGGUUAAAGAUUUCUUGAAGCUGACGACCGAAGCCCCGGUGAACGGCGGUCGUAACUAUAACGAUCCUAAGGUAGCAAAAUUCCUUGCCAGGUAAGUUCUGGCCUGCACGAAAGGCGUAACGAUCUGGGCGCUGUCUCGGAGAGAGACUCGGUGAAAUAGACUUGUCCGUGAAGAUGCGGACUAAUAUUACCUGGACAGAAAGACCCUAUGAAGCUUGACUGUAUCCUGGAAUUGGGUUUGGGCUUUUCUUGCGCAGUCUAGGUGGGAGGCUAUGAAGACUUCCUUCUGGGGGAGUUGGAGCCGUCAGUGAGAGACCACUCUGGAAGGGCUAGAAUUCUAAUGGUGUUCCUUGAAUCAGGACACUUGACAGUUUCAGGUGGGCAGUUUGACUGGGGCGGUCACCUCACAAACGGUAACUGAGGUGUGCAAAGGUUCUCUCAGCCUGGACGGAAAUCAGGCAUUGAGUGCAAAGGCAGAAGAGAGCUUGACUGCAAGACCUACAAGUCGAGCAGGGGCGAAAGCCGGUCUUAGUGAUCCGACGGUGCCGCGUGGAAGGGCCGUCGCUCAACGGAUAAAAGUUACUCUAGGGAUAACAGGCUGAUCUUCCCCAAGAGUCCAUAUCGACGGGAAGGUUUGGCACCUCGAUGUCGGCUCAUCCUAGCUCAGGGCUGUAGUAGGUCCUAAGAGUUGGGCUGUUCGCCCAUUAAAAGGGUACGUGAGCUGGGUUCAAAACGUCGUGAGACAGUUCGGUCCAUAUCCG